CUCUGUGGUUACCAGAUGUCAGUCGAAGUAAACAACGAAACACAUCUCAGUCAUUUUAGGAAAUUUAUUUGCCAAAGUUAAGGACACACCCAGGAGACAGGUCUAUGCCUUUUUCUGAAGAUGAUUUUGAGGGCUCCAAAUUUAAAGGGGAAAGGGUGGGAUAUUGAGAAGCACACAGUUUUUACAUAAAAGGGGGCAGAAGAAAAAUGUGGGGAAUCUGCAUUUUACAUAACAGACAAAAUGGGGUAGGAAAAAAAUCAGAUAUGCAUUUGUGUCCGGCGGGCCAGGGUGACUGCACCUGUAAAGAUAAGCUAUCAAGUUGCAUUGCCAUGGUGAAGUUUUAACAUCUCACCAGGAAUUUUCUUGUGUGCAAAAUAUGGGGGAGGUGUGUAGCCUUUCAUCUUGUAACCAUCUUAUUUAGGAACCAAAAGGGGGAGACAGAUUUGUGAGACCCAGUUUCCAUGACUAAGAUUAUCUCAGGAGUACAGGAUAAGUUGAACACUAAAAUCUAUACAUGUAUAUAAAAUAGGCACAGAAAAGAGCUCGGUAAAAGCCUUCCAGCAAACUAGAAAUAAAAGAUGUGAUUUUAUAUUGUAAAUAUACAAGGUAUCUAAAAUAAACUACAGCAAAUAUACAUAAUAAACUAUUAAAAGCUUGUUUUUUAAUGUCAUAAACAUGAUAAUGAUGCUGCUGUAAACAUUUUUGUUAACUAUUGCAUCUGUGGUUCCAGUCAACAGAUUAAAAUGAGAAAUGAGUUAUACAAUUAUACUUGCAAAGAAGAAUUAGUCAAUAAACUAGUACCUAAACAAUUGGUUCUACCUAGGUAGACUGGAUACCUGAAAAGCAACUCACACAAAAAACUUGUUCACAUAGAUUAAGGAAUUAAAACUUUUAGGAGAAAAUACAGGAAAAUAUUAUAACUGGGGUAAAAAUUUUCUAAACAUGGCACAAGAUAAAAAUAAUGCAUAAAAAUAUUUAUAAAUUAGACUAUCAAUUUUAAACUUGAUUAUUAAUAAUGUAUAAAAACAUGUUUUACUACAGAUAAUGCAAAGGCAAAGCAAAAUUGGGAGAAAAUAUUUUUAAAAGACAUACUACAAAAGAUUGAUAUUUAAAAAUAUAUAUAUUACAGACCGGCGCUGUGGCUUACACCUGUAAUCCCAGCACUUUGGGAGGCUGAGGCGAGUGGAUCACCUGAAAUCAGGAGUUCAAGACCAGCUGGCCAACGUGUUGAAACCCCAUCUCUACUAAAAAUACAAAAAAAUUAGCCAGCACUUUGGGAGGCCAAGCUGGGCGGAUCACUUGAGGCCAGGAAUUUGAGACCAGCCUGAACAACAUUGCAAAACCCCAUCUCUACUAAAAAUACAAAAAUUAGCCAGGCGUGGUGGCGCAUGCCUGUAAUCCCAGCUACUCAGGAGGCUGAAGCCUGAGAAUUGCUUGAACCCGGGAGUCGGAGGUUGCAGUGAGCUGAGAUCGCGACACUGUACACCAGGCUGGGCGACAGUGUGAGACUCCGUCUCCAAAUUAAAAAAACAAAAAAAGUUUUUAAAGUUGUGACCAUUAUGAUUACAUGUAAAUUGCCACAUGAAGAUGGAACAUGAAAUCUGACUUCAGGUGAGCAUAAUUUGAAAGGAAAAGGCAAAACAAGAGAAAAGAGUUAAAAAGGACGAAAACUUAAUUGGGUCAGAUCUGCAGGUUCUACCCUGUGCUGCUUUUUAGGAAAGUUGUCUCCUCUCCUGGCACAGAGGAAGGCUGGCUGGGGGAGCCUGGGCCCCUCUGUCCUCCCCGCGGUGACAGUGGCUGAUGUUUGCUCAGGCAUGAGGCGCGCCGCAAUGCCCUGGGCCUGAGGCUGACGGGCCCCGCCCCUCCUCCUUCCCCUGGACUCUUCCACGAUGUCUCUGUGCCCCUGUGCCUUCCUGUGCGUCCCUCUAAUGAAAGGGGGCAGUGGCAGCAUGAAGCUGGUGGCAGGAACUGGCUCCGCAGGCUGAGGAGGGCUCGCCCAGCUGUGGGAAAUGCUCCACUUGACAUCGGCUUUCUGUGCACCGAUCUGGGCCUCGACCCAGGGUUAGAGCCGUGGCGUCCCUGGCCUGGGCGACCCCGGGGGCUGGCACUCCGGCUGCUGCUGCGGUUGCCGCUGUGCUUGGCUGGGCCGCGGCUGGGACUAGCGCCCACUAGACGUGCAGGAGCCACCCCGCAGGAGGGAGGAGGUGGUAUCCAUGUUCCCUGAAAAACAGGCUCUGCUGACAAAUCUCAGACGCCAGGAACAGAAGAACCGAAAGAAACUGCAAGAGUUUGAGCCAAAAGGAUGGACUGUUGGAGUAGCUGAGGGUGAAGCUGCCGGAACUCCUCAAAGUGGAACAGCAAAGCCAGCACCAGAGAUGGACAAGAAAAACAAACUAUCAACGAAAAUUCGCAGAAAUCAAAGUUAGAUGCUAAAGCAGCGAAAAACCGUUCACGCCACGAUAGAAACAGAGUUGAUGAUGGAGUCUGAGAAACGAAUCUUAGGGAGAGAAAGGACAGCAGUGAACAUGGUCAGGUGCUGAGGAUUCUGGUCCACUGGACCCCACCAUCCCUAGGAUAGUAAAUACCAUCCCAGUCAUCACCCAGCAAGUUACCACCACAGCAUUUCCUGUGUGUUUCAAAAAAAUAAAUAAAGGUGAUUCUUAACAUAAGUGCAAAUAAAAAGUCAUUCAUCAUAAUCUAAACUGUCAUAGUUUAGUUUACAUUUUAACGUUCUUUAUCGUGCUAAAACCUUUGGUUUUUUAAAUUUAAUUUAAUUUGGGAUGGAGUUGUUGCCCUACUGCCCUGGCUGGACUGCAGUGACGCGAUCUCGGCUCACUGCAACCUCGCCUCUCGGGUUCAAGCGAUUCUCCUGCCUCAGCCUUCCGAGUAGGUGGGAUUACUGGUGCCUGCCACCACUCCCAGCUAAUUUUUGUACUUUUAGUAGACACAGGGUUUCAUCAUGUUGGCCAGGCUGGUCUCAAACUACUGACCUCAAGUGAUCCGCCUGCCUCGGCCUUCCAAAGUGUUGGGCUUACAGGCAUGAGCCACCAUGGCCAGACAAACAUUGUUUUUUAAAGUGGCAGCCACAAUUUUUGUCUGUCUGGAUAUAUUUUGGACUUUUGUAUAUUAAAUAUAACGUAAAAUAGAAACUUUAUUAUGUUUUAGGUAAUCUAACAUUGAUGUACACAAACAAACUUUACAGAUUACUGUAGGAUUCAGUAAACGAUGUAUACGACAUUUAUGUCUCUAGUUUUUGAUGUAUUAAUUUUAUUUUAGAAAAGAUUGGCUUCUUUAAAAAUGUCUCCAAAAAUGUAGGCUUAUUUUAUAAAAUGCCAAAAUAGUCAAAAAAUGUAAAAUACCAUUUUGCAUUUUACAAAAAGUAAAAUACUAUUUUGCCGUUUUAUACAAUAAGCCUGAAUUUGCCAUACUGUAUGAA
Molecule: long non-coding RNA, 3436 nt
Filed under: Homo sapiens (human)
Lineage: Eukaryota; Metazoa; Chordata; Mammalia; Primates; Hominidae
Description: HSALNT0341231
Source: RNAcentral